Molecule: ribosomal RNA, 467 nt
Filed under: uncultured bacterium
Lineage: Bacteria
Description: partial 16S ribosomal RNA
Rfam family: Bacterial small subunit ribosomal RNA
Source: RNAcentral
GACGAACGCUGGCGGCGUGCUUAACACAUGCAAGUCGAACGGAAAGGCCCUGCUUUUGUGGGGUGCUCGAGUGGCGAACGGGUGAGUAACACGUGAGUAACCUGCCCUUGACUUUGGGAUAACUUCAGGAAACUGGGGCUAAUACCGGAUAGGAGCUCCUGCUGCAUGGUGGGGGUUGGAAAGUUUCGGCGGUUGGGGAUGGACUCGCGGCUUAUCAGCUUGUUGGUGGGGUAGUGGCUUACCAAGGCUUUGACGGGUAGCCGGCCUGAGAGGGUGACCGGCCACAUUGGGACUGAGAUACGGCCCAGACUCCUACGGGAGGCAACAGUGGGGAAUAUUGCACAAUGGGCGGAAGCCUGAUGCAGCAACGCCGCGUGCGGAUGACGGCCUUCGGGUUGUAAACCGCUUUCGCCUGUGACGAAGCGUGAGUGACGGUAAUGGGUAAAGAAGCACCGGCUAACUACGUG